This is a long non-coding RNA of Mus musculus (house mouse), 3810 nucleotides long. RefSeq annotates it as predicted gene, 30211. NCBI's taxonomy places the organism in Eukaryota, Metazoa, Chordata, Mammalia, Rodentia, Muridae. The transcript is spliced from 6 exons. The record is from RefSeq and is a predicted model, not a curated record.
UUUGGAUAACUAAUGAAAAGCCAUUUUGUGUGCCUUGGCAUAUCAUGCCUAAGCUGUCACCAGAUAGAUCUAAUAAGACCUAAGCCUCAGAAGCAAGCCCCUGCCCAGCAAGCAGGCAGCACAGAUAAGAGCUAAACCCAGGACAGGCCAUGAUAUGCUAAUGAACUACCUUCAAGGUGGUGUUGCUGACCUAGUGAACCAGCCCCAAGCUGUGAGCCCCAAUAGCACAAAGCUACUGCCCAAAGAAAUUAUACAAAAAUUGGAACUUUGGGAAUGGUGUGCAGGAUCGCUCUGCUGUAUGCCUGGAACACAGCUUCUCUAUGUUUUGUAUUGAUACCAGUCUAGAAGCUUCCAAAACUUUCUCACUGAAGAAGAUUCCCCAUGUGGGACCCCUACAGACUCUUUUGCCCAAACAACUGCUUCCCUCCUGAGAGAAAGACAUUAAAAAUGAAGAGACAUGCAGAGAGUGCACCAUGCCAUCGUGGAGACAGACUGAAGUGACACAACUGUUAGUCAAAGAGGAUUAAGGACUUCCAGAAGCCACCAAAGGAAGGAGAUGGCUGUCUUCAUAUUUGUUCUAGACAUUGGUUCUACUCAAGUCAAGGCAAGUCAUCUGACCUUCACCAAGAAAGUCCAGCAUCCAGGAAAGGAAAUUGUAUGUUUGGAUAUGUAACCUGAAUUGUUCAGUCCUAUAGAUGUGACUUGCCCAUUAAAAUCAGAGGAAGACUGGGUAAGGUACUCCAGGACCAGCAGGAUAUGGCAAGCCCUGCCCAUCUGGUGCAGGAGCAUGACCCACAUGUGAUCAGGACUCACCUUCCUUCCAGUCAGAGCCUCAGGCUCUGCACAAAGACUCAAAUGUGCUGCCUGGGAAGGAGGAAGGGGAGGAGGAGGGCUUCUGACCUAUUACUACUUGGUCCACAAUGGUCUCUCAGAGCCCUAAGGAUCUGCACGUGGGCUCCACUGCACAGCUUCCUUUGUUAUCAACCAAAAACAGUAAUGUAGACAUGAGGAAAUUCUGGAAUAAGGUUCACCGUCCUGACACUAAAUGGAACACCCUCUACAGCUGCCCAACCCCUCCCCCUCUCCAUCUCCCUCUCCCUCUCUCUCUCUCUCUCUCCCUUCCCCUUUCCCUCUCCUCCUUCCCCAUCCAUGGCUGGGGUGGGGGGCUUCUGGUUUAGUUUUUGUUUAUUUGGAUUUACUGAGACAUGAUUUCACAAUCUACCCAAGUUGGCCUCAAUCUCACAAUCCUCCUGCCUCAACCUCCUGAGUGCUAGAAUUGUAGGUAUGUGUCCCACUGUCUCCAAUCUUUCUCUCAUCCUUCCUUUCUUUCUUUCUCUCUUUCUUUCUUUCUUUCUUUCUUUCUUUCUUUCUUUCUUUCCUUCUGAAGCAAUUGAGAAUACUUCAUGGGUAUAGAUAAGAGUAUUUAUGAAGUAUUUUAUUUAACAAAUUAAAAUGUUUGUGCUUUAGUUCCAUAAUAUGCCCAAUUAAAAAUUUAAAUAACUCUGUGGAAAAGAUUUUUUUAAGCUGGGGAAAAAGUAGAGAAAAAACUAUGAAUUAAAAAAAGGAAAACACUGGGAGGUUGCAAUGGCUGGAGAACUUGACUGUGUGUGUCUAGGAAUGAGGUUGUGUGUUGCAAUGCUUGUCACCUAGUCUGCCACUCCAUAUUCCAGGAUCCAUUGUUAAAUGACAUGCUUUUGGAGACUCCAAUGGUGAUGUUAACCAAAGCAGCUCACACCAAUAAUGAAAGAGUCCCCUGGAUUAUGGCAAUAGAAAUAUAACCCACUGCAGCCAAAAGACUAGAAGGUCCCGUGCUUCCCAGCCCUGCAAUGCCUUGCUUUUUAUUUACAUCUACCCUCCAUUCCAGGCAUCCUUUAGGACUAUAAAUGUUAAAGAUACAGACAGGAACUUCUAAGAAUAACUACCAAUAAAAGGAGCAAAGUCCUAGAAGCAAAGCAGGCAUAUGUGACAAAUGGCAGCACACAGUCCCCACUGCUGCCACCCUAGCAUAAGUGCAUACAAGCAUAAACAUAUUCUUUGUCCAGACUGCUCAUCAGUCUCCUACUGACUCUCUCCACUCUCAACCUCACUGUGGCUUUUUAACACAUUGAUGUUCAGAAAUACAGUGAAAUACAGCAUUUCUUCUUUCCAGUCCUAUACAUUGUUGCAAUAGAUGUUAAGUGACAUUAAACAAAUUCCAAGCAUUUGUUUCACUGACCUGCUUGAUACAACCAUGGCAAAGAACAUUAUCACCCUUGUUGUCAGAUAUCAGAUACAUGUAAUGGGCCUGGAGAAAUGACUCAGCAUUUAAGGCAUGGACUGUUUGCUCUUCUAGAAGAAGUGAGUUUGCUUCCCAGAUUCGUGUAAUGUCCCAAAAUACUGAGACAUAAAUGUCUUAACUGUGACACUAUCAAAUCUGUUAACCUGAAAACUCCUAUGACCUGUUUCCCUUCAAGCAUGUCUGAACAAUGAAAACUUGGCUCUACUUCCAUCUGACCUGAAGAAAUUUCAUCUUUCCUGAAAUGGGUAUCUCCUACUCUCCACCCCACACUAACCCUCUUCGAUUUUCUACGUCACAAGAUUUACUAAAUGCCACCUAUCAUAUGUGUAUUUGACUUGUGCAAGUUUCUGGGUCUAGUAGCACAACCUCAAAAUCUCAGCAACUUGGGAAGCUGAGGCAGGAGGAUCUCAUGUUUAAGACUUGCCAGGGCUGUGGUGCAAACUUGAAGCUAGUCUGGUUAAGUUAGUGAAACCCUGCCUCAAAAUAUCUAUAUAGCUUGGGAUGUAAUUCCAUGGCAGAGUGCUUGCCUAACAUGUAUAAGGCCCCAAAUUUAAUCCCCAGUACCACAAGACAAUAAUGUACAUAACUAUAAUAAAUUUUACAUAGUAAACUUUUAUAAGUAUAUUUCACAAAUAUUUUCACAAUAGACAGAAUCUAUUGUCCAAUAAGCAAAACCUGAUAGUUUCCUUGAAAACUGUGCGCUAAAAGCAUUUAAUGAUUGUAAUCAUAGAAAACUUAGAGGAAGUCAUCCUUGAUUUCCAUGCCUCAGUGUAUAAUUUACUACCACUCAUUGGAAACAGGAUUUUUCAAACCUUGAACCUUAGUUAAUUGUAUUGUUGUUCUGUUAUUGUUGUUGUUGUGGAGUUUGUUACAAAGCAUAGCACCUUGGUCUGACCAGCAUCUGUUGAAUAAAUGACUAGAUGAGCAAAUGUGUUGUUGAUGGCAGAUGAGUAUGUUUGUCCAUGUUUAAAGGGUAGUUUUUUUCUGUAAGCAUGGGUGUGUUUGUUUUCUGGAUACACUGACUGACAGAGUGUGACAUUAUUACCUUCUGUUUACAGGUGAAGAAGCAGAACUGUCUAGAGACUUGCUCAAGUGGAAGUCACCUCUCACACCUGCCCUAUGCAGUCAGGCCUUCUGUGCACACAAUCAAUUGCCUGGAUUAAUGUCACAGGAAAUCCACUCUACUGAUCAGCUGUGCUGGCUCUCCACAGUCUCCAUCGUUGUGAGGAUCCAUCUGCUCUCCCUGGGGUCCCUGGAUCCAAUGCAGGUCAUCAGGCUUGGGGACCAGCACCUUAGCCCAGUGAGCCAUCUCAUCAGCCCUCCAGUGCAAUUUUACCAGCACCUUAACCCAGUGAGCCAUCUCAUCAGCCCUCCAGUGCAAUUUUACCUUAACCCAGUGAGCCAUCUCAUCAGCCCUCCAAUGCAAUUUUACCAGCACCUUAACCCAGUGAGCCAUCUCAUCAGCCCUCCAGUGCAAUUUUACCUUAACCCAGUGAGCCGUCUCAUCAGCCCUCCAAUGCAAUUUUACAGGG